AGGACGAACGCUGGCGGCGUGCUUAACACAUGCAAGUCGAGCGGAAAGGCCCUUCGGGGUACUCGAGCGGCGAACGGGUGAGUAACACGUGAGCAACCUGCCCUUAGCUCUGGGAUAGCUCCGGGAAAACCGGAUUAAUACCGGAUAUGACCUAGGCCGACAUCGGCCGUGGUGGAAAGUUUUUCGGCUAGGGAUGAGCUCGCGGCCUAUCAGCUAGUUGGUGGGUAACGGCCUACCAAGGCGACGACGGGUA
This 253-nucleotide ribosomal RNA is filed under the name uncultured bacterium. RNAcentral's name for it is "partial small subunit ribosomal RNA". It matches the Rfam family "Bacterial small subunit ribosomal RNA", at positions 26 to 285 of the family's 1533-position model. The record is from RNAcentral.